This is a non-coding RNA of Bemisia tabaci, 588 nucleotides long. The record is from RefSeq and is a predicted model, not a curated record. Lineage: Eukaryota; Metazoa; Arthropoda; Insecta; Hemiptera; Aleyrodidae.
AAAAGCGUUGCUCUUACAAUGCCCAUUUUGGAUUCAAUUUCUGCCCUAUUUUCUACAACUGAAAUCCAAAAAAACUGUAUUACUGCUGGGAAUCAAGCAUACUCACUAUGCUAACGAAACGUAACGUUGCUUCAGCGGGAGAUCCAGCCCUGAAAACGUAGAAUCCAACGCUAGCAGUAAUAACGGAGAUCACCAGGAUCAUCACUAGAAACAUGUUCCAUCUUUUCGGUGUACCUAAUGCACUGACAGUUUCGAGUGUAAGAAUUCUACUGAAAAUAUCAACCUUCAAUUGUUCAUUCUUUGAGCACUGAUUAUUACAGUUCAAACCGACACGGAGAGUAAAUUCUAAUGAAGGUAGAGAGUCAAAUUUGCUCAUUUGGGACUUCACAGGCCUCGUCAAAGUUUUCAAUGACGACAGGUCGUAAUGCUGAUGAGAAAAUACGGAGAUCGCACAUUGCGUCAGUUUCCUUGCCCUGACUGUCCUUGCAGCCCUCGAUUUUCAGCUCUAUCAAGUCGUCAUCGAGGUGACUUCUUUUGUAAAGUAUCUAAGAUGAGAAACAGUAAAGUUGACGUGAAAAAAAUGGAAAA